AUUGAACGCUGGCGGCAUGCUUUACACAUGCAAGUCGAACGGUAACAGGCCUUCGGGUGCUGACGAGUGGCGAACGGGUGAGUAAUGCAUCGGAACGUACCCAGAGGUGGGGGAUAACGCAGCGAAAGCUGUGCUAAUACCGCAUGUGAUCUGAGGAUGAAAGCGGGGGACCGAGCAGCAAUGUUUGGCCUCGCGCCUUUGGAGCGGCCGAUGUCGGAUUAGCUAGUUGGUGGGGUAAAGGCCUACCAAGGCGACGAUCCGUAGCUGGUCUGAGAGGACGACCAGCCAUACUGGGACUGAGACACGGCCCAGACUCCUACGGGAGGCAGCAGUGGGGAAUUUUGGACAAUGGGCGCAAGCCUGAUCCAGCAAUGCCGCGUGCGGGAAGAAGGCCUUCGGGUUGUAAACCGCUUUUGGCAGGAACGAAACGGUGUCCGCUAAUACCGGGCGCUAAUGACGGUACCUGCAGAAUAAGCACCGGCUAACUACGUG
This 492-nucleotide ribosomal RNA is filed under the name uncultured bacterium. RNAcentral's name for it is "partial 16S ribosomal RNA". It matches the Rfam family "Bacterial small subunit ribosomal RNA", at positions 30 to 507 of the family's 1533-position model. The record is from RNAcentral.